This 434-nucleotide ribosomal RNA is filed under the name uncultured bacterium. RNAcentral describes it as "partial 16S ribosomal RNA". It matches the Rfam family "Bacterial small subunit ribosomal RNA", at positions 29 to 506 of the family's 1533-position model. The record is from RNAcentral.
AACGAACGCUGGCGGCAUGCCUAACACAUGCAAGUCGAACGAUUGCCUUCGGGUGAUAGUGGCGCACGGGUGCGUAACGCGUGGGAAUCUGCCCUUAGGUUCGGAAUAACAGCUGGAAACGGCUGCUAAUACCGGAUGAUAUCGCGAGAUCAAAGAUUUAUCGCCUGAGGAUGAGCCCGCGUUGGAUUAGGUAGUUGGUGGGGUAAAGGCCUACCAAGCCGACGAUCCAUAGCUGGUCUGAGAGGAUGAUCAGCCACACUGGGACUGAGACACGGCCCAGACUCCUACGGGAGGCAGCAGUGGGGAAUAUUGGACAAUGGGCGCAAGCCUGAUCCAGCAAUGCCGCGUGAGUGAUGAAGGCCCUAGGGUUGUAAAGCUCUUUUACCCGGGAAGAUAAUGACUGUACCGGGAGAAUAAACCCCGGCUAACUCCGU